GACGAACGCUGGCGGCGUGCUUAACACAUGCAAGUCGAACGGAAAGGCCCUGCUUUUGUGGGGUGCUCGUGUGGCGAACGGGUGAGUAACACGUGAGUAACCUGCCCUUGACUUUGGGAUAACUUCAGGAAACUGGGGCUAAUACCGGAUAGGAGCUCCUGCUGCAUGGUGGGGGUUGGAAAGUUUCGGCGGUUGGGGAUGGACUCGCGGCUUAUCAGCUUGUUGGUGGGGUAGUGGCUUACCAAGGCUUUGACGGGUAGCCGGCCUGAGAGGGUGACCGGACACAUUGGGACUGAGAUACGGCCCAGACUCCUACGGGAGGCAGCAGUGGGGAAUAUUGCACAAUGGGCGGAAGCCUGAUGCAGCAACGCCGCGUGCGGGAUGACGGCCUUCGGGUUGUAAACCGCUUUCGCCUGUGACGAAGCGUGAGUGACGGUAAUGGGUAAAGAAGCACCGGCUAACUACGUG
This 468-nucleotide ribosomal RNA is filed under the name uncultured bacterium. Its description in RNAcentral is "partial 16S ribosomal RNA". It matches the Rfam family "Bacterial small subunit ribosomal RNA", at positions 28 to 507 of the family's 1533-position model. The record is from RNAcentral.